CGAAUGCUGACAUAAGUAACGAUAAAGCGGGUGAAAAGCCCGCUCGCCGGAAGACCAAGGGUUCCUGUCCAACGUUAAUCGGGGCAGGGUGAGUCGACCCCUAAGGCGAGGCCGAAAGGCGUAGUCGAUGGGAAACAGGUUAAUAUUCCUGUACUUGGUGUUACUGCGAAGGGGGGACGGAGAAGGCUAUGUUGGCCGGGCGACGGUUGUCCCGGUUUAAGCGUGUAGGCUGGUUUUCCAGGCAAAUCCGGAAAAUCAAGGCUGAGGCGUGAUGACGAGGCACUACGGUGCUGAAGCAACAAAUGCCCUGCUUCCAGGAAAAGCCUCUAAGCAUCAGGUAACAUCAAAUCGUACCCCAAACCGACACAGGUGGUCAGGUAGAGAAUACCAAGGCGCUUGAGAGAACUCGGGUGAAGGAACUAGGCAAAAUGGUGCCGUAACUUCGGGAGAAGGCACGCUGAUAUGUAGGUGAAGUCCCUCGCGGAUGGAGCUGAAAUCAGUCGAAGAUACCAGCUGGCUGCAACUGUUUAUUAAAAACACAGCACUGUGCAAACACGAAAGUGGACGUAUACGGUGUGACGCCUGCCCGGUGCCGGAAGGUUAAUUGAUGGGGUCAGCGCAAGCGAAGCUCUUGAUCGAAGCCCCGGUAAACGGCGGCCGUAACUAUAACGGUCCUAAGGUAGCGAAAUUCCUUGUCGGGUAAGUUCCGACCUGCACGAAUGGCGUAAUGAUGGCCAGGCUGUCUCCACCCGAGACUCAGUGAAAUUGAACUCGCUGUGAAGAUGCAGUGUACCCGCGGCAAGACGGAAAGACCCCGUGAACCUUUACUAUAGCUUGACACUGAACAUUGAGCCUUGAUGUGUAGGAUAGGUGGGAGGCUUUGAAGUGUGGACGCCAGUCUGCAUGGAGCCGACCUUGAAAUACCACCCUUUAAUGUUUGAUGUUCUAACGUGGACCCGUGAUCCGGGUUGCGGACAGUGUCUGGUGGGUAGUUUGACUGGGGCGGUCUCCUCCUAAAGAGUAACGGAGGAGCACGAAGGUUGGCUAAUCCUGGUCGGACAUCAGGAGGUUAGUGCAAUGGCAUAAGCCAGCUUGACUGCGAGCGUGACGGCGCGAGCAGGUGCGAAAGCAGGUCAUAGUGAUCCGGUGGUUCUGAAUGGAAGGGCCAUCGCUCAACGGAUAAAAGGUACUCCGGGGAUAACAGGCUGAUACCGCCCAAGAGUUCAUAUCGACGGCGGUGUUUGGCACCUCGAUGUCGGCUCAUCACAUCCUGGGGCUGAAGUAGGUCCCAAGGGUAUGGCUGUUCGCCAUUUAAAGUGGUACGCGAGCUGGGUUUAGAACGUCGUGAGACAGUUCGGUCCCUAUCUGCCGUGGGCGCUGGAGAACUGAGGGGGGCUGCUCCUAGUACGAGAGGACCGGAGUGGACGCAUCACUGGUGUUCGGGUUGUCAUGCCAAUGGCACUGCCCGGUAGCUAAAUGCGGAAGAGAUAAGUGCUGAAAGCAUCUAAGCACGAAACUUGCCC
Molecule: ribosomal RNA, 1523 nt
Filed under: Escherichia coli
Lineage: Bacteria; Pseudomonadati; Pseudomonadota; Gammaproteobacteria; Enterobacterales; Enterobacteriaceae
Description: partial 23S ribosomal RNA
Rfam family: Bacterial large subunit ribosomal RNA
Source: RNAcentral